This 980-nucleotide long non-coding RNA is filed under the name Papio anubis (olive baboon). Its description in RNAcentral is "lncRNA (ENSPANG00000041793.1)". Lineage: Eukaryota; Metazoa; Chordata; Mammalia; Primates; Cercopithecidae. The record is from RNAcentral.
CAGACCGAGUUCGUGUCUAGUCAAAGUUAUAAAAUCGAUAGCUUCAUCUUAUGUAACCAAUCAAUAGCGUUAGAACAGACCUCUUUUAAACUCAUGGUGUGAAUGAAUUAACCAGCUGUUUGGCUGAAUUGACUGAGCUGUUUCUACUAUAAUGUGGACACAGUCUGAGAGUGAGUGAAAUGUUAGCAGGUCUUUGACUUUUUCUAGUCCAAAGAAAGAGAAAGCAAAAGAAGUGAAGCACAUAUAAUACAAGGGAAUGAUGAGGCAGGCAGCAAUCAGUAGCCUACUGACAGGUACCAAGUACAAUACUCGAUUUCACAGGAACUCCUCUCUAUUUCGAAAGUAAUUUUAAAAUAAAGAAAUGUUGAGCAGAGACAACAUGAGGAAGAUGAAGAAAAAGGCUAACUUUAAAGAAAACUACACACCCAGAGAUGCUCUCCUGAGGCCCAGACCACCACGGCCAGUCAUGGGGGAGGAGUGGCGUUGGCGAUUCAGGACUGCUUUUUCCCUCUUCAGUGCCUCUCUCAACAACAUGAAGGUAAAACCAGAUACUGUGCGUGCUCACCUGAUUUUUGGUUCUUGAUGGUGUCUUUUUCUUUGUAGAUAGUUGUUAAGUUGGCAUCCUUGAGAGGGGAACAAUCAGUGGAAACUUCUACUCUGCCAUCUUCUUCCACCUCCCCUGAUUUGAUUUUUAAUAGAUACAUGCCUAUCCCUUAAAUUUCUUUUGUAAGCCUAUUUUCCUUUGUAACAAGAAAUAACUAUGUAUUUAUUGAGAAAUUGUGUCUUUUAAGGAAUUGGUCUAUUUUAUCUAAGUUUUCCCAGUACUUUUAUUUCUAAUGUUAGUAAUUGGUAUCAUCUCUAUUCUUAGCUUUUCAAUUUUUUCAUCUUUUCAAAGAACCAUCUUUUGGUUUUCUCUAUUGAUUUCCUGUUUUUAAUUUCAUUGAUUUCUGCUCUAAUUUUUAUUAUUUCUUUUCUUCUGC